This is a long non-coding RNA of Anopheles moucheti, 401 nucleotides long. RefSeq lists it as uncharacterized. The transcript is spliced from 3 exons. Lineage: Eukaryota; Metazoa; Arthropoda; Insecta; Diptera; Culicidae. The record is from RefSeq and is a predicted model, not a curated record.
UGUAGGCAUUUUGAGUUCAAGUGGAUCGUGGUGUUACAAAUUUUCAUCUUCUAAUGAAUUCGUCAUUUCGUGGCAUGUUUUUGUGGCUGAUUUGAUUCAGAUCGUAAAAUUUAUCCCCAUUCGUAUAACGGCCAGAGACGCCACACACAGUGCAAAUGUAAGCAUGGAAGUGAAGGGGAAGAAUUGAGCGUAGCGACUAAAUCAAGUUGGCAGUUCGAUGUUUGCUUUCAUGAUCACAUCCUUCCGGCUGGAAAAAUGUAAUACAGAUGGAGAAUAUGGAUGAACUAAACACGCAGCAAAAGUGACGGAAUCGCCACACACUAUUGCGCAGUGAGUACUACAUAUUAUUCCUUUGCAGGUGUAUAAUGAUUAACAACUUUGUCUGUCAAACUAUUCCAUAA